Long non-coding RNA from Patiria miniata (bat star), 1513 nucleotides. RefSeq lists it as uncharacterized. The record is from RefSeq and is a predicted model, not a curated record. The transcript is spliced from 4 exons. NCBI's taxonomy places the organism in Eukaryota, Metazoa, Echinodermata, Asteroidea, Valvatida, Asterinidae.
AGCUGCAUCGGCCCACAUGUACUGUACGUACGGCAUGAGAAGGGCGGGUCCAUCAUUGCCAGUGCUGGUAUGGUAUGUCACUAUACUAUGUGAUGGGUUGCUCGUAUUUUCCAGCAGGACACGUAUAGGCUCUCGGCCAAGAACGGGAAAUUUCACCUUCCAUAUGAAAUGACACAGUGGAAGCCAACUUUUACAAUUAGAGGUUAGAGGACCUGCUGGGUCGGGCAACAAGAAGUAUGUGCAACAUCAAGUUGGUGGAUGGAUGUCUAGGUUACCAAGUCCACCAUAUGGUGACAGUUACCAUCAAGGGUCAGGUGCAGUCAAUGCUAGGUCAGAUUCACACAAAAGGGCUGAAACACCACCAACUGCAACAAGCGGCCCUUGCACAGUCACAGCGUCUUCCGGCUGAAACUGAGCGGCAGUAACUGAUGGGCCAGCUUCGUACAAGUGGGCCACCAACUGCAAAGAGCGGCCCUUGCGCAGUUACAGUGCUUCUGGCUGAAGCUGGGUGGCAGCAAAUGUCUGACCGAGGAAUCUAGUCGGGUUGUCUUGUGGCCCUGCCCACACUCCCUUAACAAGAACAGGAUGAGUCAUCUAGUCCCUAACCCAGUCCCCAACAGUGGGUGCAGUGCCAAAAACCCUAUUAUUGAGCUGACACUGGGCGUCGCGUGUGAGAUGAUCUACCAGUCUUUUGGAGCCACCCCAUGGUUGGAGAGCACUUGAACCUUCUUUAAAGGCUACUUACGAGGAUCCUGGCUGCUAGUUUUGGAGCCAUAAUACCCUACGCUGCCCCGACCUCUUACUUUGUAGAGACCCAGACCAGAGCCCCUAUAGAGCUGACAGGCUGACGCUGGAAGCCAUGCUGGAGGAGACUAGAGAUAGGCCUAAGACCAAGCUAGGCAUCCGCAAAUGCAAGAAUGCAUGGGGACAAUCACCAACAAGUGUGACUGCCAAGGCCGUGCUGGUUUCCAGUAAAUGCUUGCGAAGGAGAUCGAGAGACCACUUGGCUUAGCUCCAGCACCCUCUGCGGCCCUCACCUGGAGACCUCUUACCCAGAGACAUAUAGACUGGAUCAUACAGGUGGAGCUAGAAGGGACCCAUGCUGGAGGGAGCCCACGCUGGAGGGGGCUUACGCUGGAGGGAGCCCACACUGGAGGGAACCUAUGCUGGAGGGGACCCACGCUGGAGGGGACCCAUGCUGGAGGGGACCCAUGCUGGAGGGACCCACGCUGGAGGGAACCUAUGCUGGAGGGGACCCACGCUGAAGGGGACCCAUGCUGGACGGGACCCACACUGGAGGGGACCCACGCUGGAGGGAACCCAUGCUGGAGGGGACCCAUGCUGGAGGGGACCCACACUGGAGGGGACCCACGCUGGAGGGAGCCCACACUGGAGGGAGCCCACGCUGGAGGGAGCCCACGCUGGAGGGAACCCACGCUGGAGGGAACCCACGCUGGAGGGGACCCACGCUGGAGGGGACCCACGCUGGAGGGGACCCUCGCUGGAGGGGACC